AUACGUAGGGGGCGAGCGUUGUCCGGAAUUAUUGGGCGUAAAGGGCGCGUAGGCGGCCCGGUAAGUCUGGAGUGAAAGUCCUGUUUUUAAGAUGGGAAUUGCUUUGGAUACUGUCGGGCUUGAGUGCAGGAGAGGUAAGUGGAAUUCCCAGUGUAGCGGUGAAAUGGGUAGAGAUUGGGAGGAACACCAGUGGCGAAGGCGGCUUACUGGACUGUAACUGACGCUGAGGCGCGAAAGUGUGGGGAGCAAACAGGAUUAGAUACCCUGGUAGUCCACACUGUAAACGAUGAAUGCUAGGUGUAGGGGGUAUCGACCCCUUCUGUGCCGCAGUCAACACAAUAAGCAUUCCGCCUGGGGAGUACGGCCGCAAGGUUGAAACUCAAAGGAAUUGACGGGG
This 397-nucleotide ribosomal RNA is filed under the name uncultured bacterium. RNAcentral describes it as "partial 16S ribosomal RNA". It matches the Rfam family "Bacterial small subunit ribosomal RNA", at positions 523 to 918 of the family's 1533-position model. The record is from RNAcentral.